GUUUGCGCUCACAAGCCAAAUCCGACACCAACACCAGCGCCGCCGAGGCGAGGAGAGGGGACCAAAACUGCACAACCAUCCAUCCAUCGUCGCCGCCAUGUUUUUCCAUAGGAGCCACCCGUGUGCCCUCCCUCCCUGCGACCUGCGGCGGCCUCCCCCCGUGCCUACUCGAGACCUUGCCUAGCCCCGAGGCUUCUUUCACCGCCGCCGUCGCAGGAGGAGGGGAAUACAUCGCAUGGCGGGUAGGCUCCUUGCGAAUCUGAUCGUAAUGGGCGGAACCGUGGUCGGUAGGGCCGUCCUGUAGGCUUAUCGCCAGGCCAUCGUCAAUGCAAACAAAACUGGAGCUGCCCAGGAAGCUAUAAAUGGUAUUAGAGGGGCUACCAAGGUCAUGACCGAGCAAGAAGCCCGGCAGAUCCUAGAAGUAUGACACGAUGUUUGAGAGGAAUGCCAAGAACGGGAGCUUCGAUCUCCAGUCAAAAAAGUUCAUCGUGCGAAAGAAUGUCUGGAAACUGUAUAUCAAAAGCCUGAUGUAACAAACUGAGAUUGUGUAGACGCCUAGCUUCCGUUUGAAGCACUAUGUCUAAUUGAUCAAUUUGCCGGUGUGGCUAAAGAUCGCCAUUCUGUUUUUAUGUUGGGUGCAUCAGGUUGGUUGGUUGUAACGGGAUGCAUUUUUACUGGACUCGAUAUAAGGUUCAACAAACAUACGUAGUUUUGACUGAUCCUCAU
Phragmites australis (common reed) is the source of this 726-nucleotide long non-coding RNA. RefSeq lists it as uncharacterized. The record is from RefSeq and is a predicted model, not a curated record. The transcript is spliced from 4 exons. Lineage: Eukaryota; Viridiplantae; Streptophyta; Magnoliopsida; Poales; Poaceae.